This 517-nucleotide ribosomal RNA is filed under the name uncultured Actinomycetes bacterium. RNAcentral's name for it is "bacterial SSU rRNA". It matches the Rfam family "Bacterial small subunit ribosomal RNA", at positions 387 to 896 of the family's 1533-position model. Lineage: Bacteria; Bacillati; Actinomycetota; Actinomycetes. The record is from RNAcentral.
CGCAGCAACGCCGCGUGGGGAAGACGGCUUUCGGGUUGUAAACCCCUUUCAGGAGGGACGAAGGCUCACCGGUGAAUAGCCGUGUGGGUUGACGGUACCUCCAGAAGAAGCUCCGGCUAACUACGUGCCAGCAGCCGCGGUAAUACGUAGGGAGCGAGCGUUGUCCGGAAUCAUUGGGCGUAAAGCGCGCGUAGGCGGCCUCGUAAGUCCGUUGUGAAAGUCAAAGGCUCAACCUUUGAAAGCCGAUGGAUACUGCGAGGCUAGAGUCCGGAAGAGGCGAGUGGAAUUCCUGGUGUAGCGGUGGAAUGCGCAGAUAUCAGGAGGAACACCAAUAGCGAAGGCAGCUCGCUGGGACGGUACUGACGCUAAGGCGCGAAAGCGUGGGGAGCGAACAGGAUUAGAUACCCUGGUAGUCCACGCCGUAAACGAUGGGCACUAGGUGUGGGAGGUGUCGACUCCUCCCGUGCCGUCGCUAACGCACUAAGUGCCCCGCCUGGGGAGUACGGCCGCAAGGCUA